RNAcentral lists this ribosomal RNA (253 nucleotides) under uncultured bacterium. RNAcentral describes it as "partial 16S ribosomal RNA". It matches the Rfam family "Bacterial small subunit ribosomal RNA", at positions 524 to 776 of the family's 1533-position model. The record is from RNAcentral.
UACGUAGGGGGCAAGCGUUGUCCGGAUUUAUUGGGCGUAAAGAGCGUGUAGGCGGCUAGGUAGGUCCGUUGUGAAAACUCGAGGCUCAACCUCGAGACGCCGAUGGAAACCAUCUAGCUAGAGUCCGGAAGAGGAGAGUGGAAUUCCUGGUGUAGCGGUGAAAUGCGCAGAUAUCAGGAGGAACACCAAUUGCGAAGGCAGCUCACUGGUCCGGUACUGACGCUGAGGUGCGAAAGCGUGGGGAGCAAACAGG